GCGGGUGUGGCGGAACUGGCAGACGCGCGAGAUUUAGGUUCUCGUGGGAUAAAACCCGUGCAGGUUCGAUUCCUGUCACCCGCA
Molecule: transfer RNA, 84 nt
Filed under: Mucisphaera calidilacus
Lineage: Bacteria; Pseudomonadati; Planctomycetota; Phycisphaerae; Phycisphaerales; Phycisphaeraceae
Rfam family: tRNA
About the family: Transfer RNA (tRNA) molecules are approximately 80 nucleotides in length. Their secondary structure includes four short double-helical elements and three loops (D, anti-codon, and T loops).
Source: Rfam by way of RNAcentral